Molecule: unclassified non-coding RNA, 681 nt
Filed under: Dendronephthya gigantea
Lineage: Eukaryota; Metazoa; Cnidaria; Anthozoa; Malacalcyonacea; Nephtheidae
Description: tetratricopeptide repeat protein 28-like, transcript variant X4
Source: RNAcentral
AUAAAGCAGCUCGAACUGCUAUUUAAAACAUACUUGAAUCUGGUUAAAAUUAAUGAAGUUUGGCGACACAAGAGUUGAUAUAUCUAAUAUGAGUUAAAAACUGAAGAAUAUAUCAUCAAGUUGAAUACGAGUAAAAAAGUGAAGAAUAUAUCAUCAAGUUGAACAUGACUUAAAAAGUGAAGAAUAUAUCAUCACAUUGCGGCCAAAAAUGUCCGGUAUUCCAUGGGAAAGCGAGGAAAGACAAAACUACAUUCGAGCAGACUACAUUGUCAGUGAUGUUGUCAGGAAGGAAUUGAGAAGUUUCUUUAUUCAGGAAUGGAACAAACGUUACCAGGCUUCUCUUGGAGCAUGGGAUGACACAAACGGUGAAAAGAUACAUGGUCUCAAGAAAACAUAUUGGACGAGAAUAAUGUUUUCAGGAAAAUUGAUGACAAUGAACUGAUGAACCGAAAUAUUUUAAUUAUACUAAAGAAAUCAAUAUCCAAUUAGCAUGUCGGUCAAGUCCUGAUCAUCUAUAACACUAUUAUAAUCACAUAUGAAUUUAUAAGCCUGUAUUGCUAUUCUAAACCUUCCUUGCCUUAGAUAUAACAGCAUGCAUGAGAACAAUAUUAGAACAACAUGUUUAUUCAACAAGAUUGGUUUUAAAUUAAGCGUUUGACGAUAUUAUAUAUCUUAAAGGAA